AUUGAACGCUGGCGGAAUGCUUUACACAUGCAAGUCGAACGGUAGAGGGGGCAACCCCUCGAGAGUGGCGAACGGGUGAGUAAUAUAUCGGAACGUGCCCAGUCGUGGGGGAUAACGUAGCGAAAGUUACGCUAAUACCGCAUACGAUCUAAGGAUGAAAGCGGGGGAUCGCAAGACCUCGCGCGAUUGGAGCGGCCGAUAUCAGAUUAGGUAGUUGGUGGGGUAAAGGCUCACCAAGCCAACGAUCUGUAGCUGGUCUGAGAGGACGACAAGCCGCACUGGAACUGAGACACGGUCCAGACUCCUACGGGAGGCAGCAGUGGGGAAUUUUGGACAAUGGACGCAAGUCUGAUCCAGCCAUUCCGCGUGCAGGAUGAAGGCCCUCGGGUUGUAAACUGCUUUUGUACGGAACGAAAAGGUCUCUCUUAAUACGGGGGACUCAUGACGGUACCGUAAGAAUAAGCACCGGCUAACUACGUGCCAGCAGCCGCCGUAA
This 496-nucleotide ribosomal RNA is filed under the name uncultured bacterium. RNAcentral describes it as "partial 16S ribosomal RNA". It matches the Rfam family "Bacterial small subunit ribosomal RNA", at positions 30 to 523 of the family's 1533-position model. The record is from RNAcentral.